UUCCCACGCUGGGGUCGGGAUGGCCGGACACCCCGGCCUGUCCCAGCACUUGCAGGAUGGGGCCGGAGGGACCGAGGGGGAGGGCGGGAGGAAGCAGGACAUCGGGGACAUUUUACAGCAAAUUAUGACCAUCACAGACCAGAGUUUGGAUGAAGCGCAGGCCAGAAAACAUGCUUUAAACUGCCACAGAAUGAAGCCUGCCUUGUUUAAUGUGUUGUGUGAAAUCAAAGAAAAAACAGGUAGGAAUGAAAAUCCAACCUUUGGGCCUUUUUCUUUGGCUAGUUAUACCGUGGAACCUGCAACUCUUCUACUCUUCCUGGGACUUUAACAUUUUAGAAUGCAAGCACUACCAGGAAAGCCAUGCCUGCUUUUACCAAAGGGAAACAGCUUUGACAGUCGGUUUCAAGCAGUGUGUUUUCCUUAACUCUGGCCCCAACUCUUUUUGAAAUUGGGACUAAGGCAGAGGUUUUGACGGGAAAUUUAUAGACUGAUACGCCUUUGGGGGAGAACGCGAAAGUAAAAGUCCAUUUCCUGAAGGAAUAUAUUUUUUUGUCUACAAUUACUGACUCCAGUCUCUCUCACCCUGCUAUUGGGCAAGGGACUAAGGGCUAAACUGUUGUUUCCUUUCUUUUUGCCACUUUGUUCUUUGUAUUUACACAGAGUAACCAACCUGAGGCUCUCAAAAGAGUGUCUUGGAAUACCUUUGUGGAAUGCACAAUUCAAUAUUCGGGGAACCGGCUUUUGAAUGCCCUCUAAUUUUUUUUUUCUAGCAGGGACACUCUUUAGAUUUAGGGCACUAUAUUAUCCAGAGAUCAUUCCCUCUGUUGUUUUGCUACUUUCUGAACCUCAUAUCAUAGACUAACACACUUAUAACACAUCCCAGGAGGGCAUUUAAAUUUUAAAGCAACAAUUAAAAAAUCGCAGUCAUCAAUCAGAGGUGUUCUUAAACAACAGAUGCGCAGAGAAAGGGCACUUAGCAACUGUCCUCUCAUUUCUUUAUCCUGGUCCUUAAUUUUGAUUGAAUCUGUAAUUACUCAGGUCUUUCAAAUGUCUGUGAAAUGAGUAAACAGCUCCUUUGUUGGGUGAUACUUGGAUGGUAGGGAAGCGGGCAGACAAAGCACCUGAGACAGGCUGCUCAGACCUCUGAGUCAUCCAGGUGCCUGUGCCAGGACCUAACCUUAUUGCAAAGCUGAUAAUUGUGUCGCGUUAGCCGUGAGAGGUGCCUUUCGAGAGAUGUAUUGAUUGUGCCUACCAAUAUCAAAGGAGCUUUUCCUCAGUUUGUCUCUUAGGUUUUUGUUGUUGUUGUUUGGUUUUGUUAUUUUUCUUUCUUUCUAUCAGCUCGGAGAAGGAAGCCGUGGGCUUGUGUGCAUAUGUGUCCCCUUCCCUCCAAAUUUUCCUUCUCUCCUUAAGGCUUCUGUGGUUUUUCACUUUGAACCGCGGGUUUUGUUUCUCAUCAAGUUGGAGUUUUAUUUUGUUUUGUUUUGUUUUUCCUAAUCUUGGUUCAUGAAAUGUAGAGUCAUAAUAAA
RNAcentral lists this long non-coding RNA (1526 nucleotides) under Rattus norvegicus (Norway rat). RNAcentral's name for it is "long non-coding RNA NONRATT008930". Lineage: Eukaryota; Metazoa; Chordata; Mammalia; Rodentia; Muridae. The record is from RNAcentral.